GACGAACGCUGGCGGCGUGCUUAACACAUGCAAGUCGAACGGAAAGGCCCUGCUUUUGUGGGGUGCUCGAGUGGCGAACGGGUGAGUAACACGUGAGUAACCUGCCCUUGACUUUGGGAUAACUUCAGGAAACUGGGGCUAAUACCGGAUAGGAGCUCCUGCUGCAUGGUGGGGGUUGGAAAGUUUCGGCGGUUGGGGAUGGACUCGCGGUUUAUCAGCUUGUUGGUGGGGUAGUGGCUUACCAAGGCUUUGACGGGUAGCCGGCCUGAGAGGGUGACCGGCAACAUGGGAACUGGGGAAGGCCCAGAGCUCCACAGGGGGGAAGGGGUGGGAAAAUUGGCCAACUGGGCGGAGGCCGGGUGGAGCAUCGCCGGGUGGGGAAGAACGUCAUUCGGGUUGUAAGCGGCUUUCGCUGGUACCGAACCGUGGGGAAGGGAAAAGGAGAAGAAGGCACGGCUAAAUUAGUG
Molecule: ribosomal RNA, 467 nt
Filed under: uncultured bacterium
Lineage: Bacteria
Description: partial 16S ribosomal RNA
Rfam family: Bacterial small subunit ribosomal RNA
Source: RNAcentral